Molecule: long non-coding RNA, 619 nt
Organism: Exaiptasia diaphana
Lineage: Eukaryota; Metazoa; Cnidaria; Anthozoa; Actiniaria; Aiptasiidae
Exons: 3
Source: RefSeq, a predicted model, not a curated record
AGAUCCUAAGGUUAACAUCAGAGGAGCUCUACUUUACAAAGCAAGAAAACGAAAUUCUCAAGAAAGAAUUGGAAGAGCUUCGCAAGAGCCAGGACGUUGUAGAGGAAACCAAAGAUAUCCAAACAAAAACUGAAAGAAACAUUAUUGUCAGGGGAUGYCRCCGGGUSAACAAGCGCUGCUUGGAACUUCGUGACACAGUGAAGUUUGUCUUCAGCACCUGGAAAUCAAACUUUUAAACAUGUCUAAACGAUUACUACUGAUUCGAAAUUUAUAAAUUAAUUAUUGUCGUCAUUUUGUAUAUAUUUGUUAAAUAGCACAAAACAUUUCGAGAUAUUAAUUUUAUUCUAUGGAUUAGCUUAUGAAUUCAAUACUUUUGAUCAAGGUUGUGACUAUUAUAGAAAACAUACAUACCACGUGACGCCGAUAGAUGUCAGUAACGUUGCACUAAGAGAAUGAAGGCUGCCUUCACGUGACUAUUAGUUUAGUGAGUGUCGUCCCUCGAAGUCACGUGACAUCGAUGUAACUGUCAAGUCACGUGGUUUAAGGUGUAGAUAGUCGAACCGCACGAUAGGUACACUCCUUGUAAAUAUAGAAACUUGUACAUUGAUGAAGAAUGAAU